GACGAACGCUGGCGGCGUGCUUAACACAUGCAAGUCGAGCGGUAAGGCCCUUUCGGGGGUACGACGAGCGGCGAACGGGUGAGUAACACGUGGGUGACCUGCCCUCAGCUCUGGGAUAAGCCUGGGAAACCGGGGUCUAAUACCGGAUAUGACUCCAUGACGCAUGUUGUGGGGUGGAAAGCCUUGUGCGGCUGAGGAUGGGCCCGCGGCCUAUCAGCUUGUUGGUGGGGGUGAUGGCCUACCAAGGCGACGACGGGUAGCCGGCCUGAGAGGGCGACCGGCCACACUGGGACUGAGACACGGCCCAGACUCCUACGGGAGGCAGCAGUGGGGAAUCUUGCGCAAUGGGCGAAAGCCUGACGCAGCGACGCCGCGUGAGGGAUGACGGCCU
Molecule: ribosomal RNA, 391 nt
Filed under: uncultured bacterium
Lineage: Bacteria
Description: bacterial SSU rRNA
Rfam family: Bacterial small subunit ribosomal RNA
Source: RNAcentral